CAGUCGAGCGGUAACAGGGGGAGCUUGCUCCCCGCUGACGAGCGGCGGACGGGUGAGUAAUGCAUAGGAAACUGCCCAGUAGUGGGGGAUAGCCCGGGGAAACCCGGAUUAAUACCGCAUACGCCCUUCGGGGGAAAGCAGGGGAUCUUCGGACCUUGCGCUAUUGGAUGUGCCUAUGUCGGAUUAGCUAGUUGGUGGGGUAAGAGCCUACCAAGGCGACGAUCCGUAGCUGGUCUGAGAGGAUGAUCAGCCACAUCGGGACUGAGACACGGCCCGAACUCCUACGGGAGGCAGCAGUGGGGAAUAUUGGACAAUGGGGGCAACCCUGAUCCAGCCAUGCCGCGUGUGUGAAGAAGGCUUUCGGGUUGUAAAGCACUUUCAGUGAGGAGGAAAACCUUACGACUAAUACUCGUGAGGCUUGGACUUUCUUACAGAAAAAGGCCCCGGCUUACUUCCGUUCCAGCCGCCCCGGGUAUACCGGGGGGGGGCAGCC
RNAcentral lists this ribosomal RNA (493 nucleotides) under Marinobacter sp. Ar-142. RNAcentral's name for it is "partial 16S ribosomal RNA". It matches the Rfam family "Bacterial small subunit ribosomal RNA", at positions 59 to 539 of the family's 1533-position model. The record is from RNAcentral. Lineage: Bacteria; Pseudomonadati; Pseudomonadota; Gammaproteobacteria; Pseudomonadales; Marinobacteraceae.